This 1980-nucleotide ribosomal RNA is filed under the name human gut metagenome. RNAcentral describes it as "bacterial LSU rRNA". It matches the Rfam family "Bacterial large subunit ribosomal RNA", at positions 1 to 1977 of the family's 2925-position model. The record is from RNAcentral.
AUAAGAUAUCAAGGGCAACAGGUGAAUGCCUUGGCGCUGAGAGGCGAUGAAAGACGCGGUAAGCUGCGAUAAGCAUCGGGGAGGAGCUAAACAUCCUACGAUCCGAUGAUUUCUGAAUGGGGAAACCCGAUGGGAGUCAUGUCCCAUCAUCCUGAGCUGAAUAUAUAGGCCCAGAGAAGCCAACCCGGGGAAGUGAAACAUCUCAGUACCCGGAGGAAGAGAAAUCAAACGAGACUCCCAAAGUAGCGGCGAGCGAAAUGGGAAGAGCCCAAACCGGGUGGUUUCGACCAUUCGGGGUUGUAGGGCCGGCAUACGCGAUUCUGGAGUAGGCAGAGGAAGUGAGCUGGAAAGCUCCGCCACAGCGGGUGAUAGCCCCGUACUCGAAACCGAAAAGGACGCAGCCGGUACCUGAGUACUGCGAGGCACGUGGAACCUCGUGGGAAUCUAGGGGGACCAUCCUCUAAGGCUAAGUACUCCUCAGCGACCGAUAGUGAACUAGUACCGUGAGGGAAAGGUGAAAAGAACCCCUGUUAGGGGAGUGAAAUAGAAUCUGAAACCUGUUGCCUACAAGCUGCGAGAGCUACUUCGGUAGUGAUCGCGUGCCUUUUGUAUAAUGAGUCAGCGAGUUACUCUACCGUGCGAGGUUAAGCGAAAGCGUAGCCGUAGUGAAAGCGAGGCUUAAUAGGCCGACUAGUACGUUGGAGUAGACCCGAAACCGGGUGAUCUAUCCAUGAGCAGGUUGAAGCAAGGGUAAAGCCUUGUGGAGGACCGAACCGUCAACGGCUGAAAACGUUCCGGAUGACUUGUGGAUAGGGGUGAAAGGUCAAUCAAACCCGGUGAUAGCUGGUUCUCCCCGAAAUAUAUUGAGGUAUAGCCUCGGGAAUUGAUUAGCGGAGGUAAAGCACUGACAGAGCUAGGGGUCCUACCAGAUUACCAAACUCUAUCAAACUCAGAAUGCCGCUUAAUUGUAUCCCGGGAGUCAGACGGCGGGUGCGAAGGUUCGUCGUCAAAAGGGAAACAGCCCAGACCAACAGCUAAGGUCUCCAAAUCCAUGCUCAGUGGUGAAGGUAGUGGAACCGUUUAGACAGCCAGGACGUUGGCUUAGAAGCAGCCAUCGUUUAAAGAAAGCGUAAUAGCUCACUGGUCUAAUGGCUCUGCGCCGAAAAUGUAACGGGGCUAAGCAUGGUACCGAAGCUUUGGCAAUCUCCUUUGGAGAUUGGGUAGGGGAGCGUUCGCUGCGGGCUGAAGGUGUGUCGGAAGGCAUGCUGGACUGCAGUGAAGUGAUUAUGCUGACAUGAGUAACGAUAAAAUAUGUGAAAAACAUAUUCGCCGAAAACCCGAGGUUUCCUGGGUAAAGGUAAUCUUCCCAGGGUUAGUCGGAUCCUAAGGUGAGGGUGAAAGCCGUAACCGAUGGAAAACAGGUUAAUAUUCCUGUACUUGUUGUGUAGCGCGAUGGAGGGACGCAGGAAGAUAGGCGGGCCGGGUGUUGGAUAUCCCGGUGCAAGCGUGUAGGAAUAUCCGGUAGGCAAAUCCGCCGGACGAAUCUGAGACGCGAGUCCGUGGGCGCAAGCCCUGAAGCCGUUGAGUCUAUGCUGCCUAGAAAAGCUCCUAAGUUUAUCCACAGCAAUCCGUACCGCAAACCAACUCAGGUGGGUGGGAUGAACAAUCCAAGGCGCUCGAGAGAACUCUGGCCAAGGAACUCGGCAAAAUAACCCCGUAACUUCGGAAGAAGGGGUGCUCUCUAGGGUGACAUGUUUAACAUAUGAAGCCCCGGGGAGCCGCAGUGAAUUGGUGGUGGCGACUGUUUACUAAAAACAUAGGUCUGUGCGAAGUCCUAAAGACGACGUAUACGGACUGACGCCUGCCCGGUGCUGGAAGGUUAAAAGGAGGGGUCAGCGCAAGCAAAGCUCCGAAUUGAAGCCCCAGUAAACGGCGGCCGUAACUAUAACGGUCCUAAGGUAGCGAAAUUCCUUGUCGGGU